GCUAGCCUACGGGGCGCAGCAGUAGGGAAUCUUUCACAAUGGGCGAAAGCCUGAUGGAGCAACGCCGCGUGCAGGAUGAAGGCCUUCGGGUUGUAAACUGCUUUUAUAAGCGAGAAAUAUGAUGGUAACUUAUGAAUAAGGAUCGGCUAACUACGUGCCAGCAGCCGCGGUCAUACGUAGGAUCCGAGCGUUGUCCGGAUUUAUUGGGCGUAAAGCGAGCGCAGGUGGUUUAUUAAGUCUGGUGUAAAAGGCAGUGGCUCAACCAUUGUAUGCAUUGGAAACUGGUAGACUUGAGUGCAGGAGAG
RNAcentral lists this ribosomal RNA (305 nucleotides) under uncultured bacterium. Its description in RNAcentral is "bacterial SSU rRNA". It matches the Rfam family "Bacterial small subunit ribosomal RNA", at positions 332 to 656 of the family's 1533-position model. The record is from RNAcentral.